CGGUGGAUGAUGUGGAUAAUUCGAUGCAACGCGAAAACCUUACCUACCCUUGACGAUGUCUGGAACCUUGCUGAGAGGCGAGGGUGCCUUCGGGAGCCAGAACACAGGUGCUGCAUGGCUGUCGUCAGCUCGUGUCGUGAGAUGUUGGGUUAAGUCCCGCAACGAGCGCAACCCUUGUCAUUAGUUGCCAUCAUUUAGUUGGGCACUCUAAUGAGACUGCCGGUGACAAACCGGAGGAAGUGGGGAUGACGUCAAGUCCUCAUGGCCCUUAUGGGUAGGGCUUCACACGUCAUACAAUGGUCGGUACAGAGGGUUGCCAAGCCGCGAGGUGGAGCCAAUCCCUUAAAGCCGAUCGUAGUCCGGAUCGUAGUCUGCAACUCGACUACGUGAAGUCGGAAUCGCUAGUAAUCGCGGAUCAGCACGCCGCGGUGAAUACGUUCCCGGGCCUU
RNAcentral lists this ribosomal RNA (449 nucleotides) under uncultured Thauera sp. Its description in RNAcentral is "bacterial SSU rRNA". It matches the Rfam family "Bacterial small subunit ribosomal RNA", at positions 930 to 1382 of the family's 1533-position model. The record is from RNAcentral. Lineage: Bacteria; Pseudomonadati; Pseudomonadota; Betaproteobacteria; Rhodocyclales; Zoogloeaceae.